This 271-nucleotide ribosomal RNA is filed under the name uncultured bacterium. Its description in RNAcentral is "partial 16S ribosomal RNA". It matches the Rfam family "Bacterial small subunit ribosomal RNA", at positions 524 to 792 of the family's 1533-position model. The record is from RNAcentral.
UACGUAGGGUGCAAGCGUUGUCCGGAAUUAUUGGGCGUAAAGAGCUCGUAGGCGGUCUGUCGCGUCUGCUGUGAAAACCUAGGGCUUAACUCUGGGCGUGCAGUGGGUACGGGCAGGCUAGAGUGCGGUAGGGGAGACUGGAAUUCCUGGUGCAGCGGUGAAAUGCGCAGAUAUCAGGAGGAACACCGGUGGCGAAGGCGGGUCUCUGGGCCGUAACUGACGCUGAGGAGCGAAAGCAUGGGGAGCGAACAGGAUUAGAACUACCGUUGUA